CGGAACGUAGCGCAGCCAGGUAGCGCACUUGACUGGGGGUCAAGGGGUCGUGGGUUCGAAUCCCGCCGUUCCGACCA
This 77-nucleotide transfer RNA is filed under the name Alphaproteobacteria bacterium. Its description in RNAcentral is "tRNA-Pro". It matches the Rfam family "tRNA". From Rfam's summary of the family: Transfer RNA (tRNA) molecules are approximately 80 nucleotides in length. RNAcentral also lists the same sequence under 1 other name. Lineage: Bacteria; Pseudomonadati; Pseudomonadota; Alphaproteobacteria. The record is from RNAcentral.